AGCGUACACGGUGGAUGCCCUGGCAGUCAGAGGCGAUGAAGGACGUGCUAAUCUGCGAUAAGCGUCGGUAAGGUGAUAUGAACCGUUAUAACCGGCGAUUUCCGAAUGGGGAAACCCAGUGUGAUUCGUCACACUAUCAUUAACUGAAUCCAUAGGUUAAUGAGGCGAACCGGGGGAACUGAAACAUCUAAGUACCCCGAGGAAAAGAAAUCAACCGAGAUUCCCCCAGUAGCGGCGAGCGAACGGGGAGCAGCCCAGAGCCUGAAUCAGUGUGUGUGUUAGUGGAAGCGUCUGGAAAGGCGCGCGAUACAGGGUGACAGCCCCGUACACAAAAAUGCACAUGCUGUGAGCUCGAUGAGUAGGGCGGGACACGUGGUAUCCUGUCUGAAUAUGGGGGGACCAUCCUCCAAGGCUAAAUACUCCUGACUGACCGAUAGUGAACCAGUACCGUGAGGGAAAGGCGAAAAGAACCCCGGCGAGGGGAGUGAAAAAGAACCUGAAACCGUGUACGUACAAGCAGUGGGAGCACGCUUAGGCGUGUGACUGCGUACCUUUUGUAUAAUGGGUCAGCGACUUAUAUUCUGUAGCAAGGUUAACCGAAUAGGGGAGCCGAAGGGAAACCGAGUCUUAACUGGGCGUUAAGUUGCAGGGUAUAGACCCGAAACCCGGUGAUCUAGCCAUGGGCAGGUUGAAGGUUGGGUAACACUAACUGGAGGACCGAACCGACUAAUGUUGAAAAAUUAGCGGAUGACUUGUGGCUGGGGGUGAAAGGCCAAUCAAACCGGGAGAUAGCUGGUUCUCCCCGAAAGCUAUUUAGGUAGCGCCUCGUGAAUUCAUCUCCGGGGGUAGAGCACUGUUUCGGCAAGGGGGUCAUCCCGACUUACCAACCCGAUGCAAACUGCGAAUACCGGAGAAUGUUAUCACGGGAGACACACGGCGGGUGCUAACGUCCGUCGUGAAGAGGGAAACAACCCAGACCGCCAGCUAAGGUCCCAAAGUCAUGGUUAAGUGGGAAACGAUGUGGGAAGGCCCAGACAGCCAGGAUGUUGGCUUAGAAGCAGCCAUCAUUUAAAGAAAGCGUAAUAGCUCACUGGUCGAGUCGGCCUGCGCGGAAGAUGUAACGGGGCUAAACCAUGCACCGAAGCUGCGGCAGCGACGCUGAUGCGUUGUUGGGUAGGGGAGCGUUCUGUAAGCCUGCGAAGGUGUGCUGUGAGGCAUGCUGGAGGUAUCAGAAGUGCGAAUGCUGACAUAAGUAACGAUAAAGCGGGUGAAAAGCCCGCUCGCCGGAAGACCAAGGGUUCCUGUCCAACGUUAAUCGGGGCAGGGUGAGUCGACCCCUAAGGCGAGGCCGAAAGGCGUAGUCGAUGGGAAACAGGUUAAUAUUCCUGUACUUGGUGUUACUGCGAAGGGGGGACGGAGAAGGCUAUGUUGGCCGGGCGACGGUUGUCCCGGUUUAAGCGUGUAGGCUGGUUUUCCAGGCAAAUCCGGAAAAUCAAGGCUGAGGCGUGAUGACGAGGCACUACGGUGCUGAAGCAACAAAUGCCCUGCUUCCAGGAAAAGCCUCUAAGCAUCAGGUAACAUCAAAUCGUACCCCAAACCGACACAGGUGGUCAGGUAGAGAAUACCAAGGCGCUUGAGAGAACUCGGGUGAAGGAACUAGGCAAAAUGGUGCCGUAACUUCGGGAGAAGGCACGCUGAUAUGUAGGUGAAGUCCCUCGCGGAUGGAGCUGAAAUCAGUCGAAGAUACCAGCUGGCUGCAACUGUUUAUUAAAAACACAGCACUGUGCAAACACGAAAGUGGACGUAUACGGUGUGACGCCUGCCCGGUGCCGGAAGGUUAAUUGAUGGGGUCAGCGCAAGCGAAGCUCUUGAUCGAAGCCCCGGUAAACGGCGGCCGUAACUAUAACGGUCCUAAGGUAGCGAAAUUCCUUGUCGGGUAAGUUCCGACCUGCACGAAUGGCGUAAUGAUGGCCAGGCUGUCUCCACCCGAGACUCAGUGAAAUUGAACUCGCUGUGAAGAUGCAGUGUACCCGCGGCAAGACGGAAAGACCCCGUGAACCUUUACUAUAGCUUGACACUGAACAUUGAGCCUUGAUGUGUAGGAUAGGUGGGAGGCUUUGAAGUGUGGACGCCAGUCUGCAUGGAGCCGACCUUGAAAUACCACCCUUUAAUGUUUGAUGUUCUAACGUUGACCCGUGAUCCGGGUUGCGGACAGUGUCUGGUGGGUAGUUUGACUGGGGCGGUCUCCUCCUAAAGAGUAACGGAGGAGCACGAAGGUUGGCUAAUCCUGGUCGGACAUCAGGAGGUUAGUGCAAUGGCAUAAGCCAGCUUGACUGCGAGCGUGACGGCGCGAGCAGGUGCGAAAGCAGGUCAUAGUGAUCCGGUGGUUCUGAAUGGAAGGGCCAUCGCUCAACGGAUAAAAGGUACUCCGGGGAUAACAGGCUGAUACCGCCCAAGAGUUCAUAUCGACGGCGGUGUUUGGCACCUCGAUGUCGGCUCAUCACAUCCUGGGGCUGAAGUAGGUCCCAAGGGUAUGGCUGUUCGCCAUUUAAAGUGGUACGCGAGCUGGGUUUAGAACGUCGUGAGACAGUUCGGUCCCUAUCUGCCGUGGGCGCUGGAGAACUGAGGGGGGCUGCUCCUAGUACGAGAGGACCGGAGUGGACGCAUCACUGGUGUUCGGGUUGUCAUGCCAAUGGCACUGCCCGGUAGCUAAAUGCGGAAGAGAUAAGUGCUGAAAGCAUCUAAGCACGAAACUUGCCCCGAGAUGAGUUCUCCCUGACUCCUUGA
Molecule: ribosomal RNA, 2787 nt
Filed under: Escherichia coli
Lineage: Bacteria; Pseudomonadati; Pseudomonadota; Gammaproteobacteria; Enterobacterales; Enterobacteriaceae
Description: bacterial LSU rRNA
Rfam family: Bacterial large subunit ribosomal RNA
Source: RNAcentral